CAAGCAAUCAAUAUCCAAACACUACUCUCAAGCUUUUUUCAAGGUUCCUUACCUACCAAAUCUAUAUUCAUCAUGUCUCCCUGCACCUGCAACUGCUGCUCCGGCGAGUGCAACUCCUGCGCUUGCUCCACCUGCACUGUAUGUCAUUACUUACU
Small RNA from Penicillium expansum, 155 nucleotides. It matches the Rfam family "A. fumigatus sRNA Afu_254". NCBI's taxonomy places the organism in Eukaryota, Fungi, Ascomycota, Eurotiomycetes, Eurotiales, Aspergillaceae. The record is from Rfam.